This 447-nucleotide ribosomal RNA is filed under the name uncultured bacterium. RNAcentral describes it as "bacterial SSU rRNA". It matches the Rfam family "Bacterial small subunit ribosomal RNA", at positions 329 to 793 of the family's 1533-position model. The record is from RNAcentral.
UGCCAGACUCCUACGGGAGGCAGCAGUGGGGAAUAUUGCACAAUGGGGGAAACCCUGAUGCAGCGACGCCGCGUGAGUGAAGAAGUAUUUCGGUAUGUAAAGCUCUAUCAGCAGGGAAGAAAAUGACGGUACCUGACUAAGAAGCCCCGGCUAACUACGUGCCAGCAGCCGCGGUAAUACGUAGGGGGCAAGCGUUAUCCGGAUUUACUGGGUGUAAAGGGAGCGUAGACGGCGAUGCAAGCCAGAUGUGAAAGCCCGGGGCUCAACCCCGGGACUGCAUUUGGAACUGUGUGGCUGGAGUGUCGGAGAGGCAGGCGGAAUUCCUAGUGUAGCGGUGAAAUGCGUAGAUAUUAGGAGGAACACCAGUGGCGAAGGCGGCCUGCUGGACGAUGACUGACGUUGAGGCUCGAAAGCGUGGGGAGCAAACAGGAUUAGAUACCCCAGUAC